GAUGAACGCUCGCGAUAGGCUUAACACAUGCAAGUCGAGGGGCAGCAUGGUCUUAGCUUGCUAAGACUGAUGGCGACCGGCGCACGGGUGCGUAACGCGUAUGCAACUUGCCUCACAGAGGGGGAUAACCCGUCGAAAGACGGACUAAUACCGCGUACACUUGGGAUAGGGCAUCCUGACCCAAGGAAAUGAAAUUCGCUGUGAGAUAGGCAUGCGUCCCAUUAGCUAGUUGGUGAGGUAACGGCUCACCAAGGCGACGAUGGGUAGGGGAACUGAGAGGUUGAACCCCCACACUGGGACUGAGACACGGACCAGACUCCUACGGGAGGCAGCAGUGAGGAAGAUUGGUCAAUGGGCGAGAGCCUGAACCAGCCAAGUCGCGUGAAGGAUGACUGUCUUAUGGAUUGUAAACUUCUUUUAUACGGGAAUAACAAGAGCCACGUGUGGCUCCCUGCAUGUACCGUAUGAAUAAGCAUCGGCUAACUCCGUG
This 490-nucleotide ribosomal RNA is filed under the name uncultured bacterium. RNAcentral describes it as "partial 16S ribosomal RNA". It matches the Rfam family "Bacterial small subunit ribosomal RNA", at positions 28 to 507 of the family's 1533-position model. The record is from RNAcentral.